CAAAUACCUUGUGGAUUGAUGAAAAUAAUGAUGAUAUCAUUCUGCCAGGUGAGCACAUCCAGGUGUCAGGCCAGGGUGUGCUCAGUGGUCCAAGAGCCUCAGGCCACACCUGUUUGACCUCGCUGUGAUACUGUUGGCCUACUUAUGCUACUUUUCUGACUCAAUUCAGGAAGCAGCAGGGACGUUACCAGGACCUGGCUUUCUGGGCUGCUGCGAUGGUGUAACGCCUUGAUCACACCGAUAGAUCUGUGCCUCGACACAAUCCUGUCUCGGAGGUUCUACGGACAAUUUCUUCAACCUCAUGGUUUGGGUUUUUGCUCUGAUAUGCACUGUCAACUGUGGGACCUUUAUAUAGACAGGUGUGAUGCCUUUACAAAUCAUGUCCAAUUGAAUUACCUUUACCAAUGGUGGACUCUAAUCAAGUUGUAGAAACAUUUCAACGAUGAUCAAUGGAAACAGCAUAGACUAGUGCUCAAUGUCGAGUCUCAUAGCAAAGGGUCUGAAUACUUAUGUAAAUAAGGUAUUUCUGUUCAUAAUUUUUUAUAAAUGUUCAAAAAAAUUCUAUAAACCUGUGUUCGCUUUGUCAUUAUGGGGUAUUGUGUGUAGAUUGCAGAGGAUUUUUCCCCCCCAAUCCCUUUUAUAAUAAAGCUGUGACAU
Molecule: long non-coding RNA, 657 nt
Filed under: Salmo salar (Atlantic salmon)
Lineage: Eukaryota; Metazoa; Chordata; Actinopteri; Salmoniformes; Salmonidae
Description: lncRNA (ENSSSAG00000109598.1)
Source: RNAcentral